This 717-nucleotide ribosomal RNA is filed under the name uncultured Staphylococcus sp. RNAcentral describes it as "bacterial SSU rRNA". It matches the Rfam family "Bacterial small subunit ribosomal RNA", at positions 62 to 761 of the family's 1533-position model. Lineage: Bacteria; Bacillati; Bacillota; Bacilli; Caryophanales; Staphylococcaceae. The record is from RNAcentral.
UCGAGCGAACGGACGAGAAGCUUGCUUCUCUGAUGUUAGCGGCGGACGGGUGAGUAACACGUGGAUAACCUACCUAUAAGACUGGGAUAACUUCGGGAAACCGGAGCUAAUACCGGAUAAUAUGUUGAACCGCAUGGUUCAAAAGUGAAAGACGGUCUUGCUGUCACUUAUAGAUGGAUCCGCGCUGCAUUAGCUAGUUGGUAAGGUAACGGCUUACCAAGGCAACGAUGCAUAGCCGACCUGAGAGGGUGAUCGGCCACACUGGAACUGAGACACGGUCCAGACUCCUACGGGAGGCAGCAGUAGGGAAUCUUCCGCAAUGGGCGAAAGCCUGACGGAGCAACGCCGCGUGAGUGAUGAAGGUCUUCGGAUCGUAAAACUCUGUUAUUAGGGAAGAACAUAUGUGUAAGUAACUGUGCACAUCUUGACGGUACCUAAUCAGAAAGCCACGGCUAACUACGUGCCAGCAGCCGCGGUAAUACGUAGGUGGCAAGCGUUAUCCGGAAUUAUUGGGCGUAAAGCGCGCGUAGGCGGUUUUUUAAGUCUGAUGUGAAAGCCCACGGCUCAACCGUGGAGGGUCAUUGGAAACUGGAAAACUUGAGUGCAGAAGAGGAAAGUGGAAUUCCAUGUGUAGCGGUGAAAUGCGCAGAGAUAUGGAGGAACACCAGUGGCGAAGGCGACUUUCUGGUCUGUAACUGACGCUGAUGUGCGAAAGCG